RNAcentral lists this unclassified non-coding RNA (308 nucleotides) under plant metagenome. RNAcentral describes it as "partial contains 5.8S ribosomal RNA, internal transcribed spacer 2, and large subunit ribosomal RNA". The stretch from base 1 to 105 matches the Rfam family "5.8S ribosomal RNA", at positions 50 to 154 of the family's 154-position model. The record is from RNAcentral.
GAAAUGCGAUAAGUAAUGUGAAUUGCAGAAUUCAGUGAAUCAUCGAAUCUUUGAACGCACAUUGCGCCCGCCAGUAUUCUGGCGGGCAUGCCUGUCCGAGCGUCAUUUCAACCAUCAAGCCCCCGGGCUUGUGUUGGGGACCUGCGGCUGCCCGCAGGCCCUGAAAACCAGUGGCGGGCUCGCUGUCACACCGAGCGUAGUAGCAAUCACCUCGCUCAGGGCGUGCUGCGGGUUCCGGCCGUUAAACAGCCUCUCUUUUAACCCAAGGUUGACCUCGGAUCAGGUAGGAAGACCCGCUGAACUUAAGC